GUAGGUGGCAAGCGUUGUCCGGAAUUAUUGGGCGCAAAGCGCGCGCAGGUGGUUCUUUAAGUCUGAUGUGAAAGCCCCCGGCUCAACCGGGGAGGGUCAUUGGAAACUGGGGAACUUGAGUGCAGGAGAGGAAAGUGGAAUUCCACGUGUAGCGGUGAAAUGCGUAGAUAUGUGGAGGAACACCAGUGGCGAAGGCGACUUUCUGGCCUGUAACUGACACUGAGGCGCGAAAGCGUGGGGAGCAAACAGGGAUUAGAUACCCUGGUAGUCCACGCCGUAAACGAUGAGUGCUAAGUGUUGGGGGGGUUUCCCGCCCCUCAGUGCUGCAGCUAACGCAUUAAGCACUCCGCCUGGGGAGUACGGUCGCAAGACUG
RNAcentral lists this ribosomal RNA (374 nucleotides) under uncultured organism. RNAcentral's name for it is "partial 16S ribosomal RNA". It matches the Rfam family "Bacterial small subunit ribosomal RNA", at positions 527 to 896 of the family's 1533-position model. The record is from RNAcentral.